AUACUUGCGUGGCAGGGGAGACGGCAUCAUCACGAAGGUGGUUUUCCAGGGCGGGGCUUAUCCGUUGCACUCGGAUGUGCUGAGUCUGCUGGCUCCUGUGAUUCUCCCAAACGUGGGAAACUCCACUGCAUAAUUCGUGGGAUGGGGGACUGUGUUAGUGCUCUCCCCGG
Molossus molossus (Pallas's mastiff bat) is the source of this 170-nucleotide small nuclear RNA. RefSeq annotates it as U1 spliceosomal RNA. The transcript has a single exon. The record is from RefSeq and is a predicted model, not a curated record. Lineage: Eukaryota; Metazoa; Chordata; Mammalia; Chiroptera; Molossidae.